Molecule: long non-coding RNA, 619 nt
Filed under: Homo sapiens (human)
Lineage: Eukaryota; Metazoa; Chordata; Mammalia; Primates; Hominidae
Description: HSALNT0125988
Source: RNAcentral
CUAAAGGUCCCUCUCCCAGAAUACAAGGAAGCGCUAAGAAGGAGGAUGUGGGGGCAGUGUUCCAGCAGGCAUCCCAGGCUCUUCCGGCUGGAGAGCUCAGGAGACUGAGCGGUGUCAAGGCUGGAGUGAGCUAUAGGGUGCGCUGGGAGGAGGAUGGCCCAGGAGGUGGUCUGGGCACCGAAGAAUCGCGCUGGCCCUGACCGCAUGCCCCAGCCUUCCUGGGGUUUGUGAGGAGCUCUGAAGGUGGGGGUGAGGUGUUGUAAGUAAGGGGUGGGGAGUAUGAAGACGCCCACUGAAAAGAACAUUAAUCUUAGAAAGGACUUGAUUCGUCUUGGGAGCACUAUACUGAGAGCUAGGCAAGUGGAAACCGGAAGGGGCAGGCAGAGGGGUCACCCAGUGCGAUGUCAAGAGUGGGGCCGGCUGGUCCGGGAAUAUGCUGGGGAGUGGAGCACGUUUAUAUUCGACGUAGGAAAAACAAUGGAGAGGAAGAGAAGGUGGAAGGGAGGGCAAGGGAGAGAAACAUCACAUAGAUAUUUUUAGACUUUGCUGAAGAUCUGUUAUUUUUACAUCCUUGGGCUCGGGACGGCAGGGAGUUAAAUUCCCCUGAGAGAAUCCCCAU